AUGCUUGCUUCAGCACCACAUAUAAUAAAAUUGGAAUGAUAUGAAGAGAAUUAGCAUGGCUGCUGUGUAAGGAUGACAUGCAAAUUUAUGAAGCGUUCCGUAUUUUU
RNAcentral lists this small nuclear RNA (107 nucleotides) under Castor canadensis (American beaver). The record is from RNAcentral. Lineage: Eukaryota; Metazoa; Chordata; Mammalia; Rodentia; Castoridae.